AAAAAGACCAGAACUAAAAUAAAAGGAGAGAAACAUUUGUGACAGCUCUUUGGAAACUUAAUAGAAUACAUAAUGAGGAGUCAGAUAUAGAAAAUCAAGUAAGAGAAAGCUAUACACUUAACUUUGAUGCUGGUAGAAAUCAGAAAUAAUAGUGAAAUAGGCUCCAAGCUACUUUUAACAGAUUUACUUUCUUCUUCUGUAGCAUCUUUAUUACACGUGGAAUAAUGAUGUGACUCAUAAGCAGUUCACAAAAUACCUGUGUAGAAUUUCAAAUCAUAUUAUCUAAUACUUUUUCUUUCAAAAUAUACAAUAUAUACUGACAAACAAAGUAAAGAAAUUUAAGCUAAAUAAGCAGUUUAUAACUGCAUCGCAGACUGAACAUAGCUGCAGGUAGCAACAUUUCCACUGCCCUAAGAUCAUUUUAUUCUUAAUUGACAGCUGUCAAUUUCUGUGACAGAAACACAAGACAUCCUUGACAUUUCUUCAUUCGCAUAACAUACUUUGGACAAAGUCGCAACCAGGAGAGAAACAUAGAAGUGUCAUACAUGGAAAUACUAUGGAAUACUGUUUUGUU
This is a long non-coding RNA of Oxyura jamaicensis (ruddy duck), 574 nucleotides long. RefSeq lists it as uncharacterized. Lineage: Eukaryota; Metazoa; Chordata; Aves; Anseriformes; Anatidae. The record is from RefSeq and is a predicted model, not a curated record. The transcript has 3 exons.